This 55-nucleotide ribosomal RNA is filed under the name Ramlibacter agri. Its description in RNAcentral is "Ramlibacter sp. G-1-2-2 partial 23S ribosomal RNA". The record is from RNAcentral. Lineage: Bacteria; Pseudomonadati; Pseudomonadota; Betaproteobacteria; Burkholderiales; Comamonadaceae.
AAUGCGUUAAGCUAACCAGUACUAAUUGCUCGUGCGGCUUGACCCUAUAACUUUG